GGGACUGCGGCCUAUCAGUUUGUUGGUGAGGUAAUGGCCCACCAAGACUAUUACAGGUACGGGCUCUGAGAGGAGUAGCCCGGAGAUGGGUACUGAGACACGGACCCAGGCCCUAUGGGGCGCAGCAGGCGAGAAAACUUUGCAAUGUGCGAAAGCACGACAAGGUUAAUCCGAGUGGUUUCUGCUAAAGGAACCUUUUGUCAGUCCUAGAAACACUGAUGAAUAAGGGGUGGGCAAGUUCUGGUGUCAGCCGCCGCGGUAAAACCAGCACCUCAAGUGGUCAGGAUGAUUAUUGGGCCUAAAGCAUCCGUAGCCGGCUCUGUAAGUUUUCGGUUAAAUCUGUACGCUCAACGUACAGGCUGCCGGGAAUACUGCAAAGCUAGGGAGUGGGAGAGGUAGACGGUACUCGGUAGGAAGGGGUAAAAUCCUUUGAUCUAUUGAUGACCACCUGUGGCGAAGGCGGUCUACCAGAACACGUCCGACGGUGAGGGAUGAAAGCUGGGGGAGCAAACCGGAUUAGAUACCCGGGUAGUCCCAGCUGUAAACCAUGCAAACUCAGUGAUGCAUUGGCUUGUGGCCAAUGCAGUGCUGCAGGGAAGCCGUUAAGUUUGCCGCCUGGGAAGUACGUACGCAAGUAUGAAACUUAAAGGAAUUGGCGGGGGAGCACCACAAGGGGUGAAGCCUGCGGUUCAAUUGGAGUCAACGCCGGG
Molecule: ribosomal RNA, 710 nt
Filed under: uncultured Nitrososphaerota archaeon
Lineage: Archaea; Thermoproteati; Nitrososphaerota
Description: bacterial SSU rRNA
Rfam family: Archaeal small subunit ribosomal RNA
Source: RNAcentral